Molecule: long non-coding RNA, 1134 nt
Filed under: Strigops habroptila (Kakapo)
Lineage: Eukaryota; Metazoa; Chordata; Aves; Psittaciformes; Psittacidae
Description: lncRNA (ENSSHBG00005000631.1)
Source: RNAcentral
GAUUUUAUGCAAAUUUAUUUGUAAAUAUAAAGCACAUUUAGCAUGCAAAAAUACACAAAUGUCUUCUACAAAUCACCCAUCUCUUAGAGAAAUUAAUUCCUUACUUUUUUAAGAAUGAUGCCUUAACAUAUUAUCUACAUAGUUGCAACAUGAAUGGAAACUUGGUAGAAAAUCCAGUGAAAUUUGGGUACCCUGGGUUGCCAAAGAGAUCAGUUAUGUGACAAGGAAUUUUUUCCCUUCAGCUUCACUGACUUGAAGUUGCUCCAAGUCACCAGCCGGUGGAACUCUCCAUCAGUAGCUCCUGGCCUGGGAUGAAAUUCUGGCUCCACUGAAGUCACUGACAACCUCUUGUUUGGCUUUACAGGGGCCAUGAUGUUCAGCUGUGCUAAGUGAUGAACAGGAAAUGCAGUGACAUCACAAGUCCACCUCAUAGUGCUCACGUGCUCACAUCACACACACAACCCAAGCACCUGGUCCAAAAGUUGUGUUAUUCAAAUGUUCCAGAAUAAUAUUUCUGUGAAAACCCAGCUACUUGCAUCUAAUUCCUUUACACCCAAGCAUCAUAAAUCCAAGUGAUUUUUAUUGUCUUUUGGGAUUUCAGAAUGGUAUAGAAUGUAUUUUUUAAAGUGGGAUAGAAGUGAUGAGGGGUUUUCUGACUAUAAAGCUACUUUGUGCAAAUAACCUAACAGUAGCUUUUUUGAUUUCAAAGUGAUCAUAGAUUUUGCAUACAAAUAUGGCUUCAUAAAAUUUCUUUUAAAACUUUUGACAGUUUCUCUCUGCUCUAACCUCAGGCUUUUCCUUUUAGCCCCUUCUUGAGCUUGGGUGUUUGAACAUUGUCUCCUCUUACACAAGAUAUCUGUUUUAUAUUUUUGGGGAAAAAAAAUAAAAUCAGUGGUGGUUUUCUUGACUUUCCAAUAGAAUAAUCCGUAUGAGGUGACAGUUUGAUGAACAAUUUCAGUUUAACAUCACUUCUACUUGGUAGAAGCAGCAUCCAAACCAUCUCAGAAAUCUCCAUGCUUCCCAUCCUUCUGCCACACUGAAAUCUCCACUGGGUAGGUCCUAUUCCCAUGGCACUUGAUCAAAAAAAAAAAAGGUGGAGAAUUAUUUCCUAAGGGGGAAAAAAAAGAAAAAGAA